RNAcentral lists this ribosomal RNA (685 nucleotides) under Faecalibacterium prausnitzii. RNAcentral describes it as "bacterial SSU rRNA". It matches the Rfam family "Bacterial small subunit ribosomal RNA", at positions 440 to 1152 of the family's 1533-position model. Lineage: Bacteria; Bacillati; Bacillota; Clostridia; Eubacteriales; Oscillospiraceae. The record is from RNAcentral.
UGAGGAAGAUAAUGACGGUACUCAACAAGGAAGUGACGGCUAACUACGUGCCAGCAGCCGCGGUAAAACGUAGGUCACAAGCGUUGUCCGGAAUUACUGGGUGUAAAGGGAGCGCAGGCGGGAGAACAAGUUGGAAGUGAAAUCCAUGGGCUCAACCCAUGAACUGCUUUCAAAACUGUUUUUCUUGAGUAGUGCAGAGGUAGGCGGAAUUCCCGGUGUAGCGGUGGAAUGCGUAGAUAUCGGGAGGAACACCAGUGGCGAAGGCGGCCUACUGGGCACCAACUGACGCUGAGGCUCGAAAGUGUGGGUAGCAAACAGGAUUAGAUACCCUGGUAGUCCACACCGUAAACGAUGAUUACUAGGUGUUGGAGGAUUGACCCCUUCAGUGCCGCAGUUAACACAAUAAGUAAUCCACCUGGGGAGUACGACCGCAAGGUUGAAACUCAAAGGAAUUGACGGGGGCCCGCACAAGCAGUGGAGUAUGUGGUUUAAUUCGACGCAACGCGAAGAACCUUACCAAGUCUUGACAUCCCUUGACGAUGCUGGAAACAGCAUUUCUCUUCGGAGCAAGGAGACAGGUGGUGCAUGGUUGUCGUCAGCUCGUGUCGUGAGAUGUUGGGUUAAGUCCCGCAACGAGCGCAACCCUUAUGUCAGUUACUACGCAAGAGGACUCUGGCCAGACUGC